This 1249-nucleotide long non-coding RNA is filed under the name Ficedula albicollis (Collared flycatcher). Its description in RNAcentral is "lncRNA (ENSFALG00000016751.2)". Lineage: Eukaryota; Metazoa; Chordata; Aves; Passeriformes; Muscicapidae. The record is from RNAcentral.
UUACAAAUAUCUUUCUUGACGUGUCUCAGACACAGCUGAGAGUGCUUAUUUUGCAGACUUUAAUAAAAUCAUGUGAGAAGGAGAUGCAGGAAGCAGACAUAUUCAAAACUAAAUGGAUCUGGGAUCUUCAAAACUAAUGGAGCUUGGAAUAACAACCAUUUGAAAGGGUGAACUGAAGUCAUGGCCAAUACAUUCGUCAUCACCUCUUCAUUCUGAAGAGAAUGUCAGUUCCAAUGUGGAGAUAUCCCAGUACUCUGCUGAUGAUAAAAAUAAGCAGAGAGAACUGUAGCUAUUGGAAGAGAAAACAAAUAUGAAGAAAGCUGAACUGUCAAAGUAACAACUGGCUUGAGAAUAACCAGUAUUCUCCAAGGCAUUUCGAAGGACCUGGGAAAAGAUCCUGUGCUUACCAGGAAAUUUCACUGAUCUUAUCAAGCCCCAAAACACAGGAAGGAGAAAAACAUCUGCACAAAUGAAAAACCAUUGCUAUCUUGUUGAAAACCCCAGUGGUAAACAUUUUUCAUAAAAUGAGAGGUAUCUGCUUCUGUGGGAUUUUUUUUAGCAGUAAAAGAAUAGAUGGUGCAAGACAAGUGAAGAGGGAUUCCAUAAAUAAUUGCAUUUCAGUCACCUGUUUGGCAUCAUCUUAAUUGUUACAACAAAUAGCGCAAGACGACAAAAAAAUGAACAGCUUUCUACUCAGAAGAUAAACUGCUUUUAAAAAAGAAAGGAAUGAAACCCAGCUCCAUAAUUUUUCGAAUCCUAGUUAAUUAAAAUGGGCAUGACUGGAGAAGCAUAGAUGCCUGAGCAGCUUUCAAGACAUUUCUCUGGCAUGUUCCCACUGACUCUGAGACCUUAUUUCCAACCGCAGUAUCUGCUUACCCUAGUGCAGCACCUUCAAACCAACCUUCCCCAAAGGAUCCAGCAGACAUGGUCUGAGACUAGAGCUAAGCACAAGCUGGAACAACAGAGUCUCAGGAGGAAUCCCAGACAAAAAAUGCACUUGGGUGAAGACAUCUCAACUACAGCCACAUCUGCUCUACUCUGCCGUGGUGAGGCAGAGCAUCACAGGAAGAGGAACAAGAAUUCAUGGGAGACAAGUACUGAUGCAGAUGAAGGAGGAAGACAAGACUUGAUCAUCUCAGAAAGAGUGCAGUAAAAGUAAAGCUGUGAGACAACAAGAAACAAGCACAGUUGUGUUGUUAUGUAUAGAAGGCCAGAGUUCAGAGAGUCUGGUUUCUUGAGGAUGAUGUAU